Caretta caretta (loggerhead turtle) is the source of this 2520-nucleotide long non-coding RNA. RefSeq lists it as uncharacterized. NCBI's taxonomy places the organism in Eukaryota, Metazoa, Chordata, Testudines, Cheloniidae. The record is from RefSeq and is a predicted model, not a curated record.
GCCUUUCGUUUGUUUUAGCCAGACGCCAGGUUUUAGGCUGCCACCAGAGGCGGGGCAUAGGCACUAAAGCAACAAGACAAUAGAAGCCUACAUCUUGCCCAAGAUAAUUAGCUUACAUGCUGAUGACAAGGACAUCACUUCUCACAGAUGGAGAGUUUGGAGAGGAAGGAGUGGGGGAAUGUGGUCAGACUCAAAGAUUUGGACAGGUGGAGUCAGACUGGAGCUCUACCCAAUAGACCUCCAAGGUAGUACUUGGCAACUAGCUGAAAGAAAAGAAGAGAUGGCAAUUUUCAUAAUUUUUGCCACACUUUCAAUGACUUGUGACACUGUUACCCUAGUUCCUCUACAUUAUUCAAAAUUUACCAUGAAAAUAGGGAGAGACGAGAUCAAAGACAAUAUAGGAGGAAGUGAAAACAGAAAAUCCAGGCAGUAGAGACACAAGAACAGAAUGACAAAGAAAAUUUAUUCCUUGAGACACAGUGCCUCUUAAUGGACUCUGACAAGAAACACUGCCACCAGGAAUGAAGGCGUUGGAGAAUGACAAGAGUGGUGGGAGAAAAUCAAUUGAUUUGACCUAAGAUUCCAGGCAAUGAAGGCUGCUGAGGUAAUACAAUGAGAUACUGUCCUGCAUUGGAGUAUGGAAGGACAAGAUUGACUGCCACCUACAUCAGUAAUUAUAUAUGCAUUGGUUUCCACAGCUGGAUCCAGAAUAAAUAAUUUACAACAUUACCUUGGAAUAAAGUUGUCUUCAGAAGCAAGCAAGUACCUUAGGUGAACUUGUUUAUGUAUUAUCACUGGAUGAACAGAUUGGGUAGAAACCUGAGCUAAUGGUGCUUAUGUCUGUUGAGCCAGAUUUGAUCAUUGUACAGUACCUUGUGUCAAGUCAAGCUGCACUUGGCACAGGGCCUAACGAGAGGGAAGGUUUCUCUAAGCCCCUUUUCCACUCCCCUGAUCCUGCAGCUGGUUCAGCCUCUGGCAUAACUUUGGGAGGGUAGAGAUGGCUGUGCCAGCUGUAUGGCACCCAGUGAUUUCCCUACAUGAGAGGAAUCCCUAGCAGCCCCAUUAAUGCAGAUUUCCAGUUUCUUUGCCAAGUAGUCAGAUGGAGGAGGACCAAGGAUUUGGCCCAUUGUGAGUUAUAAUAAUGUAUAACAAUAGUACUUUUCACUUACACAUCACCUUCUAUUCCAGGAUCUGAGAGCACUUUACGAAUAUUAAUGAAUUUAGUUUCACAGCACCCCUGUGAGGUAGCGAUAUAAGUGACUUGCCCAAGGUCAUAUGAGAAAUAUGUGGGAGAGGAAUAGAGUAAAUCCUGGUCUCUCAAGUAUUGCUCCUAUCUCUUAACCAUGAGAUCUUCCCUCCCCCAAAGUUCAGUUUGGUUGACCCCCUUCAAAUGUUUGUAUUAAGACUUAUGUAGGUCAGGUCUCAUUUUUCUAGGGCUCCCCUCUGAAAACAGAUAUUUUGUUGAAGGAUGAAUAAGUUUAUGCCCUUUAGGGGCAAGACUUUCCCCUGCCUAUUUGGUUGCAUGUACUCCCUUAACAGCAGAGCCAGUGCAGUUUUACUGCCUAUGGAAGCAGGAUUUGGCAGGGUGCAAUGUGGAUAGAGAGUGCAACUCCAUGUUACAUACAGAUCAGUCUCUGAGAGCCACCUGCCUGCAGUGCAUAGGGGGCUGAUGGAAAAGGGACAUAGGUGAGAAGGGGCAGGGUGAGCCAAGGGAUCCACAUCUGCAUGAAUCUUCCCAUCCUCCUUCCCACGGAGGCUGCUUAUAUGGCUGGGGAACCUACUCCAACAUUAGCAUAGUCUUCACAGGAUUACUAUGAAGCCACAUCUUGGCCUGCAGAGAAGAUUUGCCUUCCCCUACACUCUGUCCAGGGCUUAGCUAGAACGGGCAAUGGGCAGGGCAUGUGACUUCAAAAAAGCAAGAUUUGGCACCCAGCCUCGGAUACUUGCCCUGAAAAAAACCCAUAAUGUAUUCAUAUGUUUUUUUUUAAAUGCAUUUUGGUUCUGUUAUAAUAAAAUGUGUAUUUGUGGAAUACGAAUGCUCCAUUCUGUUAGGAACCAACAACAGUGCCACCCAGAAACAUCACAUUGAGGUAGCAGACAAAUAUUACAUACAUCCCCACCCCACCUCACUACAAAAGAAACAUGCCGUAGAGGAUCAUACACAACCAUGAAUUAGAAUGAUCAGCCAUAUCAGACAAAUACAGUCCGGACAAGACAAAAUGGGUGAGAAAGAAGAUUGGAAGACUUUACCAGUUAGUUGCUUGAGAACUCUGACUUCUGGAGGAACUGUUCAAUGAACUUUUUAUACAAUGCUUUCUGUGACUUGUUCCUUCCAAAGGACGACACCUAGCUGAACAUGCAGUCCUUUGAGUUGAUUUCUCUCAUUUUUCCUUGUCUGAAUUAUUCAUCGAACACCCUGUAUUUAUUGCAAAUGGCCAUAAACAAAUGACUUUCCCUUUGUCUGUCUUUACUCAUGAUUUCUUUAUGCAGGUUGAAAAUAUUUCCCUAUGUUUAUUUAUU